UGCCCUACCUGGUGUGCUAUAGCUUUUGGAAUGAAACAGAGAAGAUUAGCAUGGUCCCUGAGCAAGGAUGACAUGCAAAUUGAAGUCUACAAAAAAAAUAAU
Small nuclear RNA from Sorex araneus (European shrew), 102 nucleotides. NCBI's taxonomy places the organism in Eukaryota, Metazoa, Chordata, Mammalia, Eulipotyphla, Soricidae. The record is from Ensembl.